AUGACCGGCAGAGGCAGCUCAGCAGCAGAAGCACGCUGGUGGAGGCCGGCGACUCAACACGAGGCCCACAUGAAGGCGGCUCAACGCGAGGCCCGUGUAAAGGCGGCUCGGAACGAGGCCACAAUGGCUGCUUCUGAAACCAACCCCCGUCCAAGUCUUUGUCCUGGUUGUAGUUGGAAUUUGCUUGAUCUGAUAGCUACGGAGAUGCUCAAAGCGAGGCCAAGUGGGGGCAGCUUGCAGCAACAGUUGGACGCGGCAGGCCAAGGCGGCUCGACAAAGGAAUCCAGCAGUAACAGCAAAACCCACGAGGCAGAGGCAAAGCCGGCCACGGCGGCUCACGGGCAUAGUGACUUCGGCGACUCGCAGCAGUGGCUGCCUGAGGCGACAUGUAAGGGCUGCUUCGGAAGCGUGCCCGGGGUGACUCGAUGGCGGCGGCUUGAGGCCAGGGCGACUUGCAGUGGAAGCUGA
This 468-nucleotide ribosomal RNA is filed under the name Triticum aestivum (bread wheat). RNAcentral's name for it is "partial small subunit ribosomal RNA". Lineage: Eukaryota; Viridiplantae; Streptophyta; Magnoliopsida; Poales; Poaceae. The record is from RNAcentral.